This 465-nucleotide ribosomal RNA is filed under the name Vreelandella stevensii. Its description in RNAcentral is "partial 16S ribosomal RNA". It matches the Rfam family "Bacterial small subunit ribosomal RNA", at positions 338 to 795 of the family's 1533-position model. Lineage: Bacteria; Pseudomonadati; Pseudomonadota; Gammaproteobacteria; Oceanospirillales; Halomonadaceae. The record is from RNAcentral.
CCUACGGGUGGCAGCAGUGGGGAAUAUUGGACAAUGGGCGAAAGCCUGAUCCAGCCAUGCCGCGUGUGUGAAGAAGGCCUUCGGGUUGUAAAGCACUUUCAGUGGGGAAGAAAGCCUUGGGGCUAAUACCCUCGAGGAAGGACAUCACCCACAGAAGAAGCACCGGCUAACUCCGUGCCAGCAGCCGCGGUAAUACGGAGGGUGCGAGCGUUAAUCGGAAUUACUGGGCGUAAAGCGCGCGUAGGCGGUCUGAUAAGCCGGUUGUGAAAGCCCCGGGCUCAACCUGGGAACGGCAUCCGGAACUGUCAGGCUAGAGUGCAUGAGAGGAAGGUAGAAUUCCCGGUGUAGCGGUGAAAUGCGUAGAGAUCGGGAGGAAUACCAGUGGCGAAGGCGGCCUUCUGGACUGACACUGACGCUGAGGUGCGAAAGCGUGGGUAGCAAACAGGAUUAGAUACCCGAGUAGUC